CCAGACUCCUACGGGAGGCAGCAGUGGGGAAUAUUGCACAAUGGGGGAAACCCUGAUGCAGCGACGCCGCGUGAGUGAAGAAGUAUUUCGGUAUGUAAAGCUCUAUCAGCAGGGAAGAAGAAAGACGGUACCUGACUAAGAAGCCCCGGCUAACUACGUGCCAGCAGCCGCGGUAAUACGUAGGGGGCAAGCGUUAUCCGGAUUUACUGGGUGUAAAGGGAGCGUAGACGGCUGUGCAAGUCUGAAGUGAAAGCCCAGGGCUCAACCCUGGGACUGCUUUGGAAACUGUGGAGCUAGAGUGCUGGAGAGGUAAGUGGAAUUCCUAGUGUAGCGGUGAAAUGCGUAGAUAUUAGGAGGAACACCAGUGGCGAAGGCGGCUUACUGGACAGUAACUGACGUUGAGGCUCGAAAGCGUGGGGAGCAAACAGGAUUAGAUACCCGAGUA
RNAcentral lists this ribosomal RNA (445 nucleotides) under uncultured bacterium. Its description in RNAcentral is "bacterial SSU rRNA". It matches the Rfam family "Bacterial small subunit ribosomal RNA", at positions 331 to 792 of the family's 1533-position model. The record is from RNAcentral.